This 502-nucleotide ribosomal RNA is filed under the name uncultured bacterium. RNAcentral describes it as "partial 16S ribosomal RNA". It matches the Rfam family "Bacterial small subunit ribosomal RNA", at positions 30 to 523 of the family's 1533-position model. The record is from RNAcentral.
AUUGAACGCUGGCGGCACGCUUAACACAUGCAAGUCGAGCGGUAGCAUGAGUAGUAGCAAUACUACUUGAUGACGAGCGGCGGACGGGUGAGUAACACGUAGGAACUUGCCCAAUAGAGGGGGACAACCAAGGGAAACUUUGGCUAAUACCGCAUAUACUCGAGAGAGGAAAGCUGCCGCAAGGUGGCGCUAUUGGAGAGGCUUGCGUCUGAUUAGCUAGUUGGUGAGGUAAAGGCUCACCAAGGCGAUGAUCAGUAACUGGUCUGAGAGGACGACCAGUCACACUGGGACUGAGACACGGCCCAGACUCCUACGGGAGGCAGCAGUGGGGAAUCUUGGACAAUGGGGGCAACCCUGAUCCAGCGAUGCCGCGUGAGUGAAGAAGGCCUUCGGGUCGUAAAGCUCUUUAGGUCGGGAGGAAGGUUAGUAUUUUAAGAGAUAACUAAUUUGACUGUACCGACAGAAUAAGCACCGGCAAACUCUGUGCCAGCCGCCGCAGUAA